UCAUUAGAGUGGUAUUCACACCACCAAAUUUACAUUAAAUUUGCCUAACCAUUGGAGAGUCUCACAACUGAGUUCCAGGUGCUGCAAGGGGAAACGUCGAAAGAUUUUUUCUUCUUUUUGCAUUAGUUUUUUCUCUCUCUCUCUCUUUCCUAUUUUAAUCAAAAUGAGGGUAUAAAUUUCUUUUUAAUAAAACGGUGACUAAGACUCAAUUGGACGGGUUCAUUUGGAUCCAAACGCUCCAUCAUAGAAAGUUAAGGGCUUAGGGCGUCACAAAUACGAGAUUUAGGACUCCAUUGUCACAGCAAUCAAAAGUUUGGGACCCUCACUGGAUUUCAUAUCUUUUAACCAAAGGUCAGUCGUGUAUUCUCUAAUGCUGUCCAAAAGCCAGUGACUAGUGGCCAAUGAAGAUGAAGAGAAGAUGCAUUUACCUGCAUUGGACUAACCCUGCAAAUUUUUACCCAUAAUGCAAUGGACUUAAAUUCAAAUAUCAGAUGAUAAACCAUACAGAUUCCUAGAAAUUCAUAGCAUAUGAUAUUAUCUCAAACCCAAAUUUAAGGCAUGUGAAAAUAUUGCAUUAGAACUCACCAUCACGGAAUACAGAAACUCCAAUCAAGAUUCAUUUUUGGCAAGUCACUUUUCAUUUCAAUAGCCAAGGGAGAAACUCCACACACAAGCUAUAUGCCAAAAAGCUCAUAUUCCAAAU
This 703-nucleotide long non-coding RNA is filed under the name Olea europaea (common olive). RNAcentral describes it as "long non-coding RNA (OEUR_LNC010189)". The record is from RNAcentral. Lineage: Eukaryota; Viridiplantae; Streptophyta; Magnoliopsida; Lamiales; Oleaceae.